UGAGGAAUAUUGCGCAAUGGGGGCAACCCUGACGCAGCGACGCCGCGUGAGUGAGGAAGGCCUUCGGGUCGUAAAGCUCUGUCAAGAGGGAAGAAGUGCAUAGCGGGUAAUAUCCGUUAUGUUUGACGGUACCUCUAAAGGAAGCACCGGCUAACUCCGUGCCAGCAGCCGCGGUAAUACGGAGGGUGCAAGCGUUGUUCGGAAUCACUGGGCGUAAAGGGCGCGCAGGCGGUUUGGUAAGUCAGAUGUGAAAGCCCAUGGCUUAACUGUGGAAGUGCAUUUGAAACUGUCAGACUUGAGUACCAGAGGGGAAAGUGGAAUUCCUGGUGUAGAGGUGAAAUUCGUAGAUAUCAGGAGGAAUACCGGUGGCGAAGGCGACUUUCUGGCUGAGUACUGACGCUGAGGCGCGAAAGCGUGGGGAGCAAACA
RNAcentral lists this ribosomal RNA (428 nucleotides) under uncultured prokaryote. RNAcentral's name for it is "bacterial SSU rRNA". It matches the Rfam family "Bacterial small subunit ribosomal RNA", at positions 355 to 774 of the family's 1533-position model. The record is from RNAcentral.